RNAcentral lists this ribosomal RNA (1042 nucleotides) under Patescibacteria group bacterium. Its description in RNAcentral is "partial 23S ribosomal RNA". It matches the Rfam family "Bacterial large subunit ribosomal RNA", at positions 2543 to 2925 of the family's 2925-position model. The record is from RNAcentral.
GGUACUUGGUCUUAUAUCCUCGUAUUCCUUGGCCAAGAAAAGGCAGAUACAGAUGGCUCUCGCUAUUCUCGAUAUAAAGAUCGAGAGCAGAGCACAAAUGGUCUCUGUCGCGCAGUUGGCGGAUUCAUUGUCGGCAUAUAACGUCAGGUCGAAAGGCCGGCGUAAAAAUCAUGCGGCAAUGGUCAAAGCGAGUAUUUCCCCUAACGACUGAUUCUGCUGCAACCAAUAGGGUUGGCAGAUGAGAUAUGCGCGCCUCGGCGCGGUAUCACACGGCUUGCACCUACUUCCUUCUCGGUGACGAGAAACGAAACGGUGAUGGAAUAGUCUGAUACUUGCGGUAACGCAAGAUAACAAACAACAGAGGUCCCAAGGGUUUGGCUGUUCGCCAAUUAAAAAGGCACGUGAGCUGGGUUCAGACCGUUCAGAGCAUGAGCGACGGAUGUCGCAGCUCGUGAAUUGAACGGUCUGAAUCAAUCGAACUGUUAAAAUUUUCAUCUAUUAAAUGAUCUACAGCAUUGCACACAAAAUAUGCUGAGGAUAAACCAAUCACAACAUGGCGGUCACUCAUAGCAAUAUGGGAUGAUUCCGUUGACUUAUUUCGGUGGAACCCUACUUUGCUUAGAGAGGGCAAUACCGAGGGAACUGCGCGUGGUAAAAACAGAGCGCGGGCCCGUAGAGACUAAACGUCAACAUUCCGAGCGAUCGGAAUAAGCUAUAGUCCAAUGCACACAGUAAUGUGUGGGAACAUGCGUGAGACAGGUUGGUCUCCUAUCUACUGCAGGCGUUGAUUCUUGAGGAGGUUUGCUUCUAGUACGAGAGGACCGAAGUGAACGGACCGCUGGUCUAUCUGCUGUCGUGCCAACGGCAACGCAGAGUAGCUAUGUCCGGAACGGAUAACCGCUGAAAGCAUCUAAGCGGGAAGCCGUCUCCAAGAUAAGGAAUCGUUGAGGGCCCUAGUAGACUACUAGGUUGAUAGGCCUUAGGUGUACGCACAGCGAUGUGUUGAGCCGAGAGGUACUAAUUGCCCGAUCCUAUUAGGAAA